This 193-nucleotide small nuclear RNA is filed under the name Chelydra serpentina (North American snapping turtle). RNAcentral's name for it is "U2 spliceosomal RNA (ENSCSRG00000008400.1)". It matches the Rfam family "U2 spliceosomal RNA". Rfam says of the family: U2 is a small nuclear RNA (snRNA) component of the spliceosome (involved in pre-mRNA splicing). Lineage: Eukaryota; Metazoa; Chordata; Testudines; Chelydridae. The record is from Rfam by way of RNAcentral.
AUCGCUUCUCGGCUCCUUGGAGCUCAGAUCAAGUGUAGUAUCUGUUCUUCUCAGUUUAAUAUCUGAUAUGUCCUUGAUUUAAGGACUGUCUAUUAAAUGAAUGUUUGAAAAGGGGGGAUGGACUAGGAGCUUGCUCUAUCCACCCCAGGCAUCAACCUGGUAUUGCAGUGUUUCUAGGAAUGGUGCAUCUCCU